CCGCCGGCGACCGGCGCACGGGUGAGUAACACGUAUGCAACCUGGCCGUGACAGAUGGAUAACCGGGAGAAAUCCCGCCUAAUACAACAUAAUGCCGGGAGGGGACAUCCCCUGCCGGUCAAAGGGGGCGACCCCGGUCAUGGAUGGGCAUGCGGCGCGUUAGGUAGUUGGUGGGGCAACGGCCCACCAAGCCGACGAUGCGUAGGGGUUCUGAGAGGAAGGUCCCCCACAUUGGAACUGAGACACGGUCCAAACUCCUACGGGAGGCAGCAG
This 273-nucleotide ribosomal RNA is filed under the name uncultured bacterium. RNAcentral describes it as "partial 16S ribosomal RNA". It matches the Rfam family "Bacterial small subunit ribosomal RNA", at positions 85 to 354 of the family's 1533-position model. The record is from RNAcentral.